This is a long non-coding RNA of Suricata suricatta (meerkat), 652 nucleotides long. RefSeq lists it as uncharacterized. The record is from RefSeq and is a predicted model, not a curated record. Lineage: Eukaryota; Metazoa; Chordata; Mammalia; Carnivora; Herpestidae. The transcript is spliced from 4 exons.
GCUGCUUGAAGGGAGCAGCCAGGUCCCCACCUACUGCCCUAUGACGGGUGUCCCCUUUUUUUGUGUCUUACGAGGGAAGGCCCAAGACGGUGAGAAGCUUUGGAAAUCUCUUGAUUUCACCUCAUUUCCAGGCCACUUGACCCACUGGGCCCCGAAUUUGCAACAUUCACCAGGGGCAGUGCAUCACCUGCUUAGCUUCUCAGAAACAAGGGCCUGCCCAGAACUCUUCUCAGGACUGGCCGAGAAGAAGGGGCGGAGCCAAUGAAGAGGCGUGGUUUUCCCACGGUGGGACGAGCCAAAGGCGGGCAAGCUUUUCCUUCCAUAAAGAUGGGAAAAUACCUUGCAUCAAAAGCUCUGAGUGGCGUCUCUCCGGCUGAUUUGACUAACUGAGGAAAUACCUUGCAAGGACAUGGUAAGACAGCAGCUAGAUGUCUGCAAGCCAGGAAGAGUCUUGACCAGAAACUAAAUCUGCUGGAAACUUGUGAAUUUCAAGCCUCUGGAACUGCUCUUCUGAAUGGGGUCCAACAGCUGCCACUCCUCCCACGUGAAGACCACAGCCACAUCCUUCAAUGACACUGAGCCCUGCAACAGAACGCUCCUAGUCAUUCUAAAGGGAUCAUCAUUGACCAAUACUAUGAAGAAAAGCAUCAUA